Molecule: ribosomal RNA, 459 nt
Filed under: uncultured bacterium
Lineage: Bacteria
Description: partial 16S ribosomal RNA
Rfam family: Bacterial small subunit ribosomal RNA
Source: RNAcentral
CCUACGGGUGGCAGCAGUGAGGAAUAUUGGUCAAUGGUCGCGAGACUGAACCAGCCAAGUCGCGUGAAGGAUGACUGCCCUACGGGUUGUAAACCUCUUUUAUCAAGGAAUAAAGUGAGGCACGUGUGCCUUUUUGAAUGUACUUUAUGAAUAAGGAUCGGCUAACUCCGUGCCAGCAGCCGCGGUAAUACGGAGGAUCCGAGCGUUAUCCGGAUUUAUUGGGUUUAAAGGGUGCGUAGGCGGUUCGUUAAGUCAGUGGUCAAAUUGAGGGGCUCAACCCCUUCCCGCCAUUGAAACUGGCGGUCUCGAGUGGAAGAGAAGUAUGCGGAAUGCGUGGUGUAGCGGUGAAAUGCAUAGAUAUCACGCAGAACCCCGAUUGCGAAGGCAGCAUGCCGGCUUCCGACUGACGCUGAGGCACGAAAGCGUGGGGAUCGAACAGGAUUAGAUACCCGAGUAGUC